AGUGAACGCUGGCGGUAGGCCUAACACAUGCAAGUCGAACGGCAGCACAGUAAUAGCUUGCUCUUACGGGUGGCGAGUGGCGGACGGGUGAGGAAUACAUCGGAAUCUACUUUUUCGUGGGGGAUAACGUAGGGAAACUUACGCUAAUACCGCAUACGACCUACGUGUGAAAGCAGGGGAUCUUCGGACCUUGCGCGAGUGAAUGAGCCGAUGUCGGAUUAGCUAGUUGGCGGGGUAAAGGCCCACCAAGGCGACGAUCCGUAGCUGGUCUGAGAGGAUGAUCAGCCACACUGGAACUGAGACACGGUCCAGACUCCUACGGGAGGCAGCAGUGGGGAAUAUUGGACAAUGGGCGAAAGCCUGAUCCAGCCAUACCGCGUGGGUGAAGAAGGCCUUCGGGUUGUAAAGCCCUUUUGUUGGGAAAGAAAAGCAGCAGGUUAAUACCCCGCUGUUCUGACGGUACCCAAAGAAUAAGCACCGGCUAACUUCGUG
RNAcentral lists this ribosomal RNA (492 nucleotides) under uncultured bacterium. RNAcentral describes it as "partial 16S ribosomal RNA". It matches the Rfam family "Bacterial small subunit ribosomal RNA", at positions 29 to 507 of the family's 1533-position model. The record is from RNAcentral.